UGGAAAAAGAAAGGCCACUGCCGCCCGCCAAGUCUUGGUCGUAGGUUUGUUACGCCAACGCCUCCUAUGGUUACGCCAGUUCUGCGUCAUUCUAAGCCGUUCUGUACACUUAUACUUGAUAUUAAAUGGAGUCAUUUAGCUGUACUGAUGCUGUUUGCCGUGUGUUUUGCAUCAGUGCUUCGUAACAUCGGCUGUAUUGCAUGUAUCACCAACGGCUUACUACCUUAAUGGCGGGAUCUACGUUCGCCGCCUUCGUUGUUCUCGGUGCAUCUUUGUACGUGGGACGUUGGGAUAACACUUUUUCCGGUAAGUGAAAUACUUUGCACUUCGUUUUUCGUCAACAAUGCGAAUAUUUUUGGCUGUUACCCGCUACAAUUCCUGAUGUAUGGGCCCUUCUGCCCUGCGGGUUUUCGUCAUCUUUCUUUGUGGUUAACGUAGCACGAAUCAACCGAAGGGAGUGCAUUCGAUGAGGACGCGCUGGCUGUAACCCUGAACCAGACUGAACUCGCCCUAUUUUGUGUCCUUUACUUCUUGCAUGGAUUACAGCGUUGCGUGUGCGGGCGUGUAUGUCAGUAACUGUGUAGUUUGUAGCGUUCCCACUAUAUAGCAAAACAAAAAAUAUAACUGCAAUGUUUACUUCGUCUAUACAAUUCCAACUGUGAUCGGCUGCUGAUGUAAAAAUUUCACUGGUAUCUUGUUCUAAAUAAGCAGCAAAACCUUUAGCCUAGUAGGUGCUUCAUCUGGGAUUGCGAUCACGACUGAUUGGCAUUUAUUAAUGAAUGACUGUGGGCCACCUCAUUUGUAAUUGCAAAUCUGUCUUUCAACUGACUUGAUGCUCUCUUAUUUUAUUCUUUUCACUCUAUAUGCGGCUGGGCAUCCUUCUUGCCCCUUGGCGCUAGCUGGAUAACGGGACCUCAUCAUGAUCAGUGUAUUGAUUGCCUAUGUCUACAAGAACCUUCACGCGUGGCCUAUGACAGCAAGCUUUUGUGGGCAGCCAGUGCUGUCCUACAAAGGCUGGCCUGCUGUGGCAGCAGCGGCAAUCAUCUUCAAGAUUCAUGCAUGAUCACCUUUGCUGCUAUUUGUUACUCUUGUUAAUUACACUUUCUGCAUCAUUUCUAAUUUAUUAGGUAAUAAACAUGACUAUGUGA
Molecule: long non-coding RNA, 1148 nt
Organism: Dermacentor andersoni
Lineage: Eukaryota; Metazoa; Arthropoda; Arachnida; Ixodida; Ixodidae
Source: RefSeq, a predicted model, not a curated record